RNAcentral lists this ribosomal RNA (498 nucleotides) under uncultured bacterium. Its description in RNAcentral is "partial 16S ribosomal RNA". It matches the Rfam family "Bacterial small subunit ribosomal RNA", at positions 30 to 523 of the family's 1533-position model. The record is from RNAcentral.
AUUGAACGCUGGCGGCAUGCCUUACACACGCAAGUCGGACGGUAACAGGCCUUCGGAUGCUGACGAGUGGCGAACGGGUGAGUAAUACAUCGGAACGUGCCCGAUCGUGGGGGAUAACGAAGCGAAAGCUUUGCUAAUACCGCAUAAGAUCUACGGAUGAAAGCAGGGGACCGCAAGGCCUUGCGCGAACGGAGCGGCCGAUGGCAGAUUAGGUAGUUGGGGGGAUAAAAGCUUACCAAGCCGACGAUCUGUAGCUGGUCUGAGAGGACGACCAGCCACACUGGGACUGAGACACGGCCCAGACGCCUACGGGAGGCAGCAGUGGGGAAUUUUGGACAAUGGGCGAAAGCCUGAUCCAGCCAUGCCGCGUGCAGGAUGAAGGCCUUCGGGUUGUAAACUGCUUUUGUACGGAACGAAAAGACUCUUUCUAAUAAAGGGGGUCCAUGACGGUACCGUAAGAAUAAGCACCGGCUAACUACGUGCCAGCCGCCGCCGUAA